AAGGGCACCACAAGAACGCGUGGAGCAUGUGGCUUAAUUUGACUCAACGCGGGGAAUCUUACCGGGUCCGGACACACUGAGGAUUGACAGACGGUUAUUGACUUAUACUCGCUUAAUGGCUUUAAGCUGUUAAGUGUUUAACACCUUUACACAAAGAUGCUAGUCCUUUCAUGAUCGUUUGAUAGGUGGUGCAUGGCCGUUCUUAGUUCGUGGAGUGAUCUGUCUGCCUAAUUGCGUUUCACUAAGGUCCCAUUCUUCAUACGUAUGAAUAGCGUCUUAACUCACUUUUACCGCUACCUAUUUGUAGUAAGCGCUCAUACUAUUGGGACCGGAAUGCAACGAGCGCGACUGCACCACCUAAUUGCCCCUUAUCUACCAUUAAUUACUUUAUUAACCGCCCUGUACGGGCACCGGGGCCUUACCUUUACUGAAACUAGCUGGACCGCUGCUUUCCUUUAAGCCAGAGGAAGGUUGCGGCAAUAACAGGUCUGUGAUGCCCUCAGAUGUUCCGGGCCGCACACGUGCUACAAUGAUCAGCACAAAGAGUAUUACCUAUCUUCUUAUACCUAACCCAAUAUGUUAAACUUAUUGCGUAAGGAUAUUGUCUUAACGACUUAUCCGCUUUAGCGCUUUAAGAUUAUUGGACGGUUAUGCCUGCCUCGAAAGAGUGUACAGGGCAGCAAGAGUAAUGAUUCCCUCGUUUUUACUACUAAUACCGCGCUUGGUAACAUAUUACACUCGAUUAAGUAGGGUCUUUGCUUUUAAUAGCAAUUGCUAUCCUCACCCUUAGGCUCUAAGGAUAUUACUAUCUCUCUAAGGUCUACAGGGAGGUGUAUAUGGCGCACUUACUUAUUCACGGUGGGGACAGACCAUUGUUAACUG
Molecule: ribosomal RNA, 882 nt
Filed under: Globorotalia truncatulinoides
Lineage: Eukaryota; Foraminifera; Rotaliida; Globorotaliidae
Description: bacterial SSU rRNA
Rfam family: Eukaryotic small subunit ribosomal RNA (bases 22-528)
Source: RNAcentral